GUUCCGCCCACAGCGCGACUCCAACUGCCCACUGGCUGAGGCCUAGGAGGCGGGAGCGAGACAGCUCCGCCCGCAAAACAGCCCCACCUCCACAUUGGGCAAGGCUCGGAGAGGGGCGGGAUGUCCCUAAAUCUACUGGACCUGAAGACGUGUCCCAUUUCUGCGUGUUAGACAGCGGUACUCUCUCUGUGGUGGAAGAUGAUUUCAGAGAGCUCUGAGAGAGUAGUACACCCCGUGAUCAGCCUGCAGCUCCACUCCUCCACCAUGUCACCAUCACCCAGCUGGAGAAGCGUCAGGCCUGACGAAGAAGGUCCUAUCUGCCAGGGAGCCUCACGACCUAGGAAACAUGUGCCUAGGGACUGAGAAAAUCCACAGAACCGGAUCCAGAGAAUAUUGGAUUCUGGCAGGCAGGACAAGAACGUAGAUCAGGUGCUUCCUGCAGGGAUCCAGACACAGAGGCCAAACACAAGUGCACCAGCAAGUCCUACCCUGUUCCUCAACACCGUUACAACCCGGCAAAUUGAUUCAUCAGCGGCCAGGAAGACCUGUUCCUUCUGUAAAACGUUAGACCCAACAUAACAGUAAAAACUUU
Long non-coding RNA from Acinonyx jubatus (cheetah), 592 nucleotides. RefSeq lists it as uncharacterized. NCBI's taxonomy places the organism in Eukaryota, Metazoa, Chordata, Mammalia, Carnivora, Felidae. The transcript is spliced from 3 exons. The record is from RefSeq and is a predicted model, not a curated record.